GAGUUUGAUCCUGGCUCAGGAUGAACGCUGGCGGCGUGCUUAAUACAUGCAAGUCGAACGGAGGUAGCAAUACUUCAGUGGCGACCGGGUGCGUAACACGUAGCUGACCUGCCCCUCAGCGGGGGAUAACAUCUCGAAAGAGGUGCUAAUACCGCAUGAACUCUUGGUAGUUAGAGUGCCAAGAGAAAACUUCAGGGGUUGAGGGAGGGAGCUGCGGCCCAUCAGGUAGUUGGUAAGGUAGUGGCUUACCAAGCCGAUGACGGGUAGGGGGCCUGAGAGGGUGGUCCCCCACACUGGAACUGACACACGGUCCAGACUCCUACGGGAGGCAGCAGUAAGGGAUAUUGGUCAAUGGGCGCAAGCCUGAACCAGCAACGCCGCGUGCAGGAUGACGGCCUUCGGGUUGUAAACUGCUUUUGUCGGGGACGAGAGAGGACGGUACCCGGCGAAUAAGUCACGGCUAACUACGUGCCAGCAGCCGCGGUAACACGUAGGUGGCGAGCGUUAUCCGGAUUUACUGGGCGUAAAGCGUGUGCAGACUGACUAGCAAGUGGUGUAUGAAAUCGCGGUGCUUAACACAGCGAGGUUAUGCCAGACUGCUGGACUAGAGUGCGAGAGAGGGAUGUGGAAUUCCGGGUGUAGUGGUGAAAUGCGUAGAGAUCCGGAGGAACCCCAGAGGCGAAAGCGGCGUCCUGGCUCGCAACUGACGUUCAGACACGACAGCAUGGGGAGCAAACGGGAUUAGAAACCCCGGUAGUCCAUGCCGUAAACGAUGCCGACUAGGCGCUGGUGGUGAUAAACCGUCGGUGCCGCAGCUAACGCGAUAAGUCGGCCGCCUGGGGACUACGGCCGCAAGGCUAAAACUCAAAGGAAUUGACGGGGGCCCGCACAAGCAGCGGAGCGUGUG
RNAcentral lists this ribosomal RNA (907 nucleotides) under uncultured Chloroflexota bacterium. Its description in RNAcentral is "bacterial SSU rRNA". It matches the Rfam family "Bacterial small subunit ribosomal RNA", at positions 9 to 943 of the family's 1533-position model. Lineage: Bacteria; Bacillati; Chloroflexota. The record is from RNAcentral.